This 116-nucleotide small RNA is filed under the name Marmota monax (woodchuck). The record is from RNAcentral. Lineage: Eukaryota; Metazoa; Chordata; Mammalia; Rodentia; Sciuridae.
GCCGGGCACAGUGGCAUGUACCUGUAAUCCCAGCAACUCCGGAGGCUAAGGCAGGAGGAUCACAAGUUUGAGGCCAACCUUGUCAGCUUAAGCAACUUAAUGAGACCCUAUCUCAA